Molecule: ribosomal RNA, 200 nt
Filed under: uncultured Glomus
Lineage: Eukaryota; Fungi; Glomeromycota; Glomeromycetes; Glomerales; Glomeraceae
Description: partial small subunit ribosomal RNA
Rfam family: Eukaryotic small subunit ribosomal RNA
Source: RNAcentral
CCAAUAGCGUAUAUUAAAGUUGUUGCAGUUAAAAAGCUCGUAGUUGAAUUUCGGGGUUAAUAAGUUGGUCGUACCUAUGGUAUGUACUGGCUUUAUUGAUUCCUACCUCUUGACGAACUAUGAUGCCAUUAAUUUGGUAUUGCAAGAAAUCAGGACUGUUACCUUGAAAAAAUUAGAGUGUUUAAAGCAGGCUUACGCUU